RNAcentral lists this ribosomal RNA (441 nucleotides) under Triticum aestivum (bread wheat). RNAcentral's name for it is "partial small subunit ribosomal RNA". Lineage: Eukaryota; Viridiplantae; Streptophyta; Magnoliopsida; Poales; Poaceae. The record is from RNAcentral.
AUGGGUUCAUAUGGCAGGUCCCACAAAAAAGAUGUACUAAGGAAGCUUGCACUCUCUCUCAAUUAUCAUUGGUCAUUGCGCCAAGGGCAAUUCAGAGUUUUAGGUUGUGUCAUGGGCUCAUAUGGCAGGUCCCACCAAAAAGACGUACUAAGGCCAUACUCAGGCGGAACAGUGAGGCAUCACCAUUGGCCACGGGCAGGGAGAGAAGGCGGGUCAACAGCGGAGUUUCAGGAGGGCAUUGAUUCCCUGCGGUUAGGAGGCAGGGAGGACGGAGAAGGGCUGGGGCACGCCGAGCAGCUCCUGAGGAGAAAUGGAGGCCUAUCACUGUUUUGUUUUGACAUUAUAUACUGUAAUAAACUUGAAGCUCUGCCCAUCAUACUAUGCAGACUGCAGUGUGUUCUCUUGCACUGUCUGAAGUACAAAAUAAAAAAGGGCAACUAG